GUGCUUGCUUCAGCAGCACAUAUACUAAAAUUGGAAAGAUACAGAGCAGAUUAGCAUGGUCCCUGAGCAAGGACGACACUCAAAUUCAUGAAGCAUUCCACUUUUUU
RNAcentral lists this small nuclear RNA (107 nucleotides) under Echinops telfairi (small Madagascar hedgehog). The record is from RNAcentral. Lineage: Eukaryota; Metazoa; Chordata; Mammalia; Afrosoricida; Tenrecidae.